RNAcentral lists this ribosomal RNA (253 nucleotides) under uncultured bacterium. RNAcentral describes it as "partial 16S ribosomal RNA". It matches the Rfam family "Bacterial small subunit ribosomal RNA", at positions 524 to 776 of the family's 1533-position model. The record is from RNAcentral.
UACGUAGGGGGCAAGCGUUGUCCGGAAUCAUUGGGCGUAAAGCGCGCGUAGGCGGACCUGCAAGUCGGAGGUGAAAUCCUGGAGCUCAACUCCAGAACUGCCUUUGAUACUGGGAAUCUCGAGUCCGGGAGAGGUGAGUGGAACUGCGAGUGUAGAGGUGAAAUUCGUAGAUAUUCGCAAGAACACCAGUGGCGAAGGCGGCUCACUGGCCCGGUACUGACGCUGAGGUGCGAAAGCGUGGGGAGCAAACAGG